AUUGAACGCUGGCGGCAGGCCUAACGCAUGCAAGUCGAACGGUAACAGGAAGCAGCUUGCUGCUUUGCUGACGAGUGGCGGACGGGUGAGUCAUGUCUGGGAAACUGCCCGAUGGAGGGGGAUAACUACUGGAAACGGUAGCUAAUACCGCAUAACGUCGCAAGACCAAAGAGGGGGACCUUAGGGCCUCUUGCCAUCGGAUGUGCCCAGAUGGGAUUAGCUAGUAGGUGGGGUAACGGCUCACCUAGGCGACGAUCCCUAGCUGGUCUGAGAGGAGGACCGGCCACACUGGAACUGAGACACGGUCCAGACUCCUACGGGAGGCAGCAGUGGGGAAUAUUGCACAAUGGGCGCAAGCCUGAUGCAGCCAUGCCGCGUGUAUGAAGAAGGCCUUCGGGUUGUAAAGUACUUUCAGCGGGGAGGAAGGGAGUAAAGUUAAUACCUUGGCUCAUUGACGUUACCCGCAGAAGAAGCACCGGCUAACUCCGUG
This 490-nucleotide ribosomal RNA is filed under the name uncultured bacterium. Its description in RNAcentral is "partial 16S ribosomal RNA". It matches the Rfam family "Bacterial small subunit ribosomal RNA", at positions 30 to 507 of the family's 1533-position model. The record is from RNAcentral.